This is a long non-coding RNA of Paramisgurnus dabryanus, 1060 nucleotides long. RefSeq lists it as uncharacterized. The record is from RefSeq and is a predicted model, not a curated record. Lineage: Eukaryota; Metazoa; Chordata; Actinopteri; Cypriniformes; Cobitidae.
UUUACCUGUCAGCACAGCAAGAAGUCGAACACACGUAUUUGCGUGCGCGCGCCUCGGUCCUUGUGAGUUCAAAGUGGAUUUUAACCGUUUACCUCAGACGACAGUUUUCAUUUCUAUGGUAAAUUCUAAGGUCAUUUUCUUGUUGUGUUGUGAUGUGUUCCAUUGGCUGAAGAGCAGAUUACCAUGCAAUUUGAUGAAGUGUGAUAGAAUACACAGAGGUGAAGUCACGUGUCUUUCCAGAUGCCCAAAUCUGUACCACUCAAAAGAUGAGCCUGAAGAGGAGAUUUGGGAAGAUGCUGUUUCAUAAGUCUUUGCUUUGCCAGAUCACCUGUGGUCGGGAUGUCUGCUAACAUGAUGCCUUGUUGGUCUGGGCGAGUUUGAAGUCUCUCACAGACAGUCCAGAAGGUCUGGAGUCCAUGUUAGCUUUUAUUGAUUAACUACAUACGGUCCCUUGGGGGAGCCAACCCAGGUGAAGUCCACUGAAGUCCCAAUUGCCUACAGCAUGAAAUGGAGGAAGGCAAUAUCCAAUUAAAAGAGACAGAAUAAGAUUGGACCAGAAUAUCACACUCUAAAUUCUGCUGGGUUAUUUUUAACCCAAUGCUGGGUAAAUAUUGGACAGAACACAUGGGUUACCUUUUAAAUAAAGCACUGCAUUGAAACAACCCAGUAUAGGUUUAUUUAUUAUUUACUAAUGCAGUAUGCCUACUAGAAAUGGGUAAAUUAAGGCAUGCUCAAGAAGAAAAGUGGCCAAGAAGAAAAUACAUUACGUUAGGACUAGGGAUGCUCCGAUCGAUCGGCCGCCGAUCGGUAUCGGCCGAUAACGUCAUUAAAUGACUCGAUCGGUCCUCGCUAAAUUUGCCGAUCUCAUAAACCGAUCUUUCUGUUUACCUUUGUCAACAUAGGGCUCCUGAAUGCGGCUGCAGUUAGAGACCAUUUUUACGCAAUGCGAGCAUUUUUAUAACCCAUCGCUCGUGUGUGACAUGAAGAUUUGCAUUUCUCUCUUUGCGCUUGCAGAGAUAAGCGUAUUUUCUAUGAGGACGCGAUCUGAUCAACAGCGCAA